GUGCGACGCACAGGAGUUUGGCAACCUGGGCUGCGCCUUGGCCCCGUGCAUAUCUGCCUACCCCAUGUAUAGGAUGCUAGGGGGGGCGAGUGUUCGAAUCACUCCGUCCCCACCA
This 115-nucleotide transfer RNA is filed under the name Pseudomonas congelans. RNAcentral describes it as "tRNA-OTHER". RNAcentral also lists the same sequence under 1 other name. Lineage: Bacteria; Pseudomonadati; Pseudomonadota; Gammaproteobacteria; Pseudomonadales; Pseudomonadaceae. The record is from RNAcentral.